UACGGAGGAUGCGAGCGUUAUCCGGAUUUAUUGGGUUUAAAGGGUGCGUAGGCGGGCUGUUAAGUCAGCGGUAAAAGCCCGGGGCUCAACCCCGGCCCGCCGUUGAAACUGGCUGGCUUGAGUUGGGGAAAGGCAGGCGGAAUGCGCGGUGUAGCGGUGAAAUGCAUAGAUAUCGCGCAGAACCCCGAUUGCGAAGGCAGCCUGCCGGCCCCACACUGACGCUGAGGUGCGAAAGCGUGGGGAGCAAAUAGG
RNAcentral lists this ribosomal RNA (252 nucleotides) under uncultured Bacteroidales bacterium. Its description in RNAcentral is "partial 16S ribosomal RNA". It matches the Rfam family "Bacterial small subunit ribosomal RNA", at positions 524 to 776 of the family's 1533-position model. Lineage: Bacteria; Pseudomonadati; Bacteroidota; Bacteroidia; Bacteroidales. The record is from RNAcentral.